This 267-nucleotide ribosomal RNA is filed under the name uncultured bacterium. RNAcentral's name for it is "partial 16S ribosomal RNA". It matches the Rfam family "Bacterial small subunit ribosomal RNA", at positions 793 to 1055 of the family's 1533-position model. The record is from RNAcentral.
GUCCACGCCCUAAACGAUGUCAACUAGGUGUUGGGAGGGUUAAACCUCUUAGUGCCGUAGCUAACGCGUGAAGUUGACCGCCUGGGGAGUACGGCCGCAAGGCUAAAAACUCAAAGGAAUUGACGGGGACCCGCACAAGCGGUGGAUGAUGUGGAUUAAUUCGAUGCAACGCGAAAAACCUUACCUACCCUUGACAUGUCAGGAAUCCCGGAGAGAUUUGGGAGUGCUCGAAAGAGAACCUGAACACAGGUGCUGCAUGGCUGUCGU